RNAcentral lists this microRNA precursor (154 nucleotides) under Amborella trichopoda. Its description in RNAcentral is "MIR8565 microRNA precursor family". It matches the Rfam family "MIR8565 microRNA precursor family". The record is from Rfam by way of RNAcentral. Lineage: Eukaryota; Viridiplantae; Streptophyta; Magnoliopsida; Amborellales; Amborellaceae.
CUCACACCCAUGUGUGUAGGAUUUCAAAUGAUUAUCAUUAAAUUUGACACAGAUCUCUAUAAAAGUUAUUACAUGGGUGUCGGACGUGACUUUUCUAGAUAUCUAUGUCAAAUUUAAUGAUGAUCCUUUGAAGUCCUACACACAUGGAUGUGGG